This 91-nucleotide transfer RNA is filed under the name Oceanobacter sp. 1_MG-2023. RNAcentral describes it as "tRNA-Ser". It matches the Rfam family "tRNA". From Rfam's summary of the family: Transfer RNA (tRNA) molecules are approximately 80 nucleotides in length. Their secondary structure includes four short double-helical elements and three loops (D, anti-codon, and T loops). Further hydrogen bonds mediate the characteristic L-shaped molecular structure. tRNAs have two regions of fundamental functional importance: the anti-codon, which is responsible for specific mRNA codon recognition, and the 3' end, to which the tRNAs corresponding amino acid is attached (by aminoacyl-tRNA synthetases). tRNAs cope with the degeneracy of the genetic code in two manners: having more than one tRNA (with a specific anti-codon) for a particular amino acid; and 'wobble' base-pairing, i.e. permitting non-standard base-pairing at the 3rd anti-codon position. Lineage: Bacteria; Pseudomonadati; Pseudomonadota; Gammaproteobacteria; Oceanospirillales; Oceanospirillaceae. The record is from RNAcentral. RNAcentral also lists the same sequence under 6 other names.
GGAGGGAUGGCUGAGUGGUUGAAAGCACCGGUCUUGAAAACCGGCGUAGGUUAAUAGCCUACCUAGGGUUCAAAUCCCUAUCCCUCCGCCA